Molecule: long non-coding RNA, 598 nt
Organism: Schistocerca serialis cubense
Lineage: Eukaryota; Metazoa; Arthropoda; Insecta; Orthoptera; Acrididae
Exons: 4
Source: RefSeq, a predicted model, not a curated record
GCAACAGUUUGUUGCGAAAGCUUGAAUUUUGUGUGUAUGUUUGUGUUUGUUUGUGUGUCUGUCGACCUGCCAGCACUUUCAUUUGGUGGCAAAAUGCAAAAUGGAUCCUGGAGGAAUGAAGUGGGAAGCUGCAAAGAAAUGGGUACAGGUACAAACUAAGGAAUUACAGAGCAAAGAGAAGCUAGACCCUGAUAUUGCUUGAAGACUUACGGGGAUGUCAGAUGAAAAGCAUUAUGAUCCACCUGAGUACAAUGAUACAAAUUGGCAUAUGAAUAUGCAAAGUAAAGGUCAUCCUCAGACAAGCUGAAGCACUGCAAGAAAUUACAGCAGCAUGAUGACUGCCACCCCAGCCUGUUCAAUUGGAAACAACUCAACAAACAGUUCAAGCACCUAAAUUCAGAGAGUUUAUGAGGCAAAGUGAAGACUAGGCUGAUAUGUUGCACAUCUGAUGGCUUAUUUCAGCACCUACAGCAUAACAGGUACUCUCUGCCUUCCCAGUCUGCAUAAAGUUCUUCUUCCAGUCUUGGAAGCGUACUGACAGCAGUAAUCAUUGUAUCAUAUACAUUCUGAAGAGCUUCACUAAAUGCAUUAAAUGAUG